Molecule: transfer RNA, 62 nt
Filed under: Tanaecia julii
Lineage: Eukaryota; Metazoa; Arthropoda; Insecta; Lepidoptera; Nymphalidae
Description: tRNA-Cys
Source: RNAcentral
GUCUUAUAUUCAAAUAAUGAUAUAAAAUUGCAAAUUUUAUGGUGUAAAAUAUACUAAGGCUU